This 467-nucleotide ribosomal RNA is filed under the name uncultured bacterium. Its description in RNAcentral is "partial 16S ribosomal RNA". It matches the Rfam family "Bacterial small subunit ribosomal RNA", at positions 28 to 506 of the family's 1533-position model. The record is from RNAcentral.
GACGAACGCUGGCGGCGUGCUUAACACAUGCAAGUCGAACGGAAAGGCCCUGCUUUUGUGGGGUGCUCGAGUGGCGAACGGGUGAGUAACACGUGAGUAACCUGCCCUUGACUUUGGGAUAACUUCAGGAAACUGGGGCUAAUACCGGAUAGGAGCUCCUGCUGCAUGGUGGGGGUUGGAAAGUUUCGGCGGUUGGGGAUGGACUCGCGGCUUAUCAGCUUGUUGGUGGGGUAGUGGCUUACCAAGGCUUUGACGGGUAGCCGGCCUGAGAGGGUGACCGGCCACAUGGGGACGGGGAUACGGCCCGGACUCCUACGGGAGGCAGCAGUGGGGAAUAUUGCACAAUGGGCGGAAGCCGGAGGCAGCACCGCCGCGUGCGGGAUGACGGCCUUCGGGUUGUAAACCGCUUUCGCCUGUGACGAAGCGUGAGUGACGGUAAUGGGUAAAGAAGCACCGGCUAACUACGU